Non-coding RNA from Peromyscus maniculatus bairdii (prairie deer mouse), 1201 nucleotides. The record is from RefSeq and is a predicted model, not a curated record. NCBI's taxonomy places the organism in Eukaryota, Metazoa, Chordata, Mammalia, Rodentia, Cricetidae.
AGCGUGCAAUAGCUGUCCUGGUCAUAGCUAUCCUUUUCCACCAGGGCAAGCGAAUUGUGGAGAUGAGGCGGGAGAAGCUGAUGGGUUCCAGAACAAAGUCAGGAAAUGAUUACAGCCUCCUUCUAAGAAAAGUAGCGAUCUUCCAGGCCUGCUUUAGAUAGAUACUCAAGCCAGGACUUAAGCAAUGCUUAGGGAAGCCACAGGACAUCUGACGGUCACGUCUAGGGAUGGACAGAGUGAUCACAGGAGAAAACGGAGAGCAGUGUGCUCAUCAGUUAUAAAGUGGGAAUCAUUUACAUGAGACACAGGAAAGGACUUCCUGCCGGUGGGAAUACUGAGAUGUCAACGGAGUAGAAGGCAGGAGCAUAAAAUCGGCAUGGUAGAUGAAGUGCAUGUUACUUUCAUUUUCUUCGAGGCCAGUGACCCCGAGGCCAAGACACACUGCCUGGUUUCUGUGAGUCUCAUCUUGCUGUAAAUAAAGCCGGAAGUUCACUCCCACUUGAAGAUUCCCAGUGCUAGGAUGUCUCUAUUUCCAGAUCAUUCUCCACUUUCAUCCUGCUCGCUGGCCGUGGGGCUGACUUGAGGACUGUACAAGGGUUCCUGCCCCAGAGCCUGAAGCAUUCCUAUGUUCCCAGGACCUGAAGGGACUGGUGGGGUCGCUAGCCAGCCCAAGAUGGACAUGCAGAGCCCGAUGCCGAUGCCAUUUGCUGUGACUACAGUCUCCCCUGGGUUCAGGAACAGCCAUAAUCACAGGGGUAUUCACGAGAAUAAAGAGCUGCUAUACGAGGCUUGAGACAAGCAGGGUCUAGGCAUUGGGGAGAAGAACAGCAGCUCCAGCCAAGAGGUUAGGGUGGCUGGGCUGGGAGGGUAGCAGUGGGGGUGGUAGGAAAAGGCUGAUUUACAUUUGCUUUUAAGAUGGAGUCGACAGGGGACCCCACUGCUCUAUGGAAUGGACAGAAUGGCUAUGGUAAGGCUGAGAAGUCAAUCCCUGCCUUGUAGCCACAAGCUCCUUACCCAAGGAAAACACAAACCACAUCCAUAUAUAUAGCUCAGUGCUCACUUCCCCAACCCAUCAAUAUCCGCCUUGCAUAAGAGACAAACACAGUUUCAUGAAUAAUCAUGACGCUCCAGCCUCCCCUGCAUCCUCUUCUGAUUCAAACCCUGUCUCCCUGAAGGGCUUUGGGGAAGAUAAUUUUUUCAA